Non-coding RNA from Schizosaccharomyces pombe (fission yeast), 856 nucleotides. NCBI's taxonomy places the organism in Eukaryota, Fungi, Ascomycota, Schizosaccharomycetes, Schizosaccharomycetales, Schizosaccharomycetaceae. The record is from the annotation of a GenBank genome assembly.
CAAUGUUAGUUCCAUCCAAUGUCUUUGCGCUUCAAAAUCGCCAUACAUAGGAGGUGUAUUAUACCCAGAAUAAGGACCGAUAGAUAUAAGCCAUUGCAUGAAAACUAAACUCAUUAUAAGGCAUGGAAAAAAUAAAAAUUUAGAUGAAUAGGAUCGAAAACGAGAAACGAAUUGUUGAACGGGAGCCCCAUUCUCAAACUCAGAUAGCAUGUUUUAAGCGGCCGUCAAACGGUAAGGAUUUCGCUUUAAAACUUUGGGUUUCUAAAUUAAAAUAUCCAACUUGGAAAGCUUAAAGAUUAAAAAACGAGUGAAUUUGUAUCCGGAAUGUUUUAAACAAGGAAAAGCUAAUUCAAAGCAGAUACAAGUUGGGAUAACAGUGAAAUGGGUUGGGAACCACGAAGUGGACUAUGGGUCCACCAUUGCGAUCAUCGUGAAAUAUGGUUUUAUAAUGUCCAAAAAAAUCAAUUCACUUUUUAAUUCAUUCUUUCUUUCUUAUUUUUUAUUUUCAGUUUCAAAGCCUAAAAAUUAAAUACGCGCAAAGUUAUCACUACAUAAUUGAUCCAAGGGUGAGCAAUAACAUAAAAAAUGAGUUGAUAAACAUGAAAAUUAAGCUGUAUCACUUAUUGACUGAUUUACUUUUCUCUUAAGAUAGGUAAAUGUUAGAAUAAAUUGAGCUUGGCAAGUUAGGAGUUUGUUUCAGUGAUACUAGCCCAUUAAAUUCAAUGAACUGAAAUAUAUUACUUAAUUGUUUGCUGUUUAAUAAUUUAGCUCUAACGAAAAUCUUAUUAGCAAAGAACAUGCUAAGAAAAAUAAUUCCCUUAAUACAUUUACUAUGUAAUUGAUCUCGAAUUUGUAG